UCCUACGGGGGGCAGCAGUGAGGAAUAUUGGUCAAUGGCCGGAAGGCUGAACCAGCCAAGCCGCGUGAAGGACGAAGGUGCCAAGCAUUGUAAACUUCUUUUGUCAAGGGACAAAAUCAGGCUCGAGAGCCUGACCGAGGGUACUUGAAGAAAAAGCAUCGGCUAACUCCGUGCCAGCAGCCGCGGUAAUACGGAGGAUGCGAGCGUUAUCCGGAUUUAUUGGGUUUAAAGGGUGCGUAGGCGGGCUGUUAAGUCAGCGGUAAAAGCCCGGGGCUCAACCCCGGCGGCCCGUUGCAACUGGCUGG
Molecule: ribosomal RNA, 305 nt
Filed under: uncultured bacterium
Lineage: Bacteria
Description: bacterial SSU rRNA
Rfam family: Bacterial small subunit ribosomal RNA
Source: RNAcentral